AAGUCGUAACAAGGUUUCCGUAGGUGAACCUGCGGAAGGAUCAUUAACACUUACUGUUUAAAGUUUAACUUUAAAAAUUAAACUUCAAACAUGUAUUUCAACAAACUCGUGCUCCUUUUUUUUCCAAACCUUUAACUAUUUUAAAUUUAUCUUUUAGCAGUUUUUCGUUUUUUAGCUUUUUUUGUUUUUCAAACAGAAACACUAAUAACGGAAAUGUAUGUAAUAACAAUGUUAAUAGUAUUUUUUAUAUGUACAUUAUAUGUGUACAGAUAAGAAUAGCUAUAAACAGAGUUGAACAAACAACUGUUAACAAUGGAUAUCUAGGCUCUC
Molecule: unclassified non-coding RNA, 330 nt
Filed under: fungal sp.
Lineage: Eukaryota; Fungi
Description: partial internal transcribed spacer region
Rfam family: Eukaryotic small subunit ribosomal RNA (bases 1-46)
Source: RNAcentral